Long non-coding RNA from Nicotiana attenuata, 2060 nucleotides. RefSeq lists it as uncharacterized. Lineage: Eukaryota; Viridiplantae; Streptophyta; Magnoliopsida; Solanales; Solanaceae. The record is from RefSeq and is a predicted model, not a curated record. The transcript has 3 exons.
AGACACGUAUUACCGGCUUUCUUCUGUGUUUGACGCGUGGUUACUACAACAUAAAAGUUCGUCCCUAUACUGCUCUCUGCUUCUCAUCCUUAUCACUGCUGCUCCGUUGGGAAAUUCUGACAUCUCCCUGUUCAGUUUACCGCUUCCGCUUGCACAUAUCUGGACUACCUCUUCCAAGUUUUUGCGAUUUGGCUCAUAUGCAAUUAAGAUGAGUGACUUCUUGGAAAAUCUGAGAUUGGACAUUUUAGGAGUUCAACCGCUGAAGUGUUGGAGGGGUCUGGUUUCUCUAUGUGCACCACAGAAGAAAAGGUUUACAUAGCGAUUCCAAACUGUAGCUUAUCUUCAACAAAUCUGGUGGCUUGAAGUUGAUGGGGAUCUCGAGUUGCAAGGUGACAAAGAGACAUAGUCGUCGAGUUGCAACUCCACUUACGUUUUCAUCUUGAAUAAUUAGUGUUUGAAACUGAACCCGCUGAUCCCUACUUUCUCUUGGCCGAAAUUUGUCCACGGACUGAACUUUGCAAGUCCAUUCUUUAGUCGAUGGUGUAAUUUCAUUGAUCGUAAGUCUUUGUUCCAUUCUAUCAGUAUAACCUGCAUAUAAAUAACAGCAAAAUUGCUGUCAUAUAGUUUAUUUGUCGGUAAAUUUGCUGCCUUAUAUUUGGAUGCUUUGUUCUUACAAUUUUGCUGUUAUUAAUAUGCAAAUUAUACUGAUAGAAUGGAAAAUUACACCAUCGACUAAAGAAUGACUUGCAAAGUUCAGCUCGUGGACAAAUUUCGGCCAAGAGAAAGUAGGGAUCACCGGGUUCGGUUUGAAACAAUAAUUGUUUUAGAUGAAAACGUAAGUGGAGUUACAACUAUAACGGUAAUAUAAGAUGUUCUAACUUGUACUCUUUCAAUAUUUUGAAUUAUUCGUCGCAAUAAAAUUGUAAGAAGAACAAAUUUGUGUAAUACUGUAUGGUGAUGACAUUGGACAAUGUGAUAAGUUGUUGUUCCAACUUUUCGAGACGUAUCUCAUUUCAACUGCCAUAGUUAGAGAUCCACGACCCUAUUCAAUACACAUUGGUCAGUUUGAAUGGGUUUUCGACAAGUUCACUAUUGUGGAGUCUAUUCCAAAGAAUAAUGAAAAAGAGGCACUGUUACCACCUCCGAGGAGUCUACAUGUCGAACAACAACCUUGUGGUGUUGAAUUUGGUUAGCUAUACUUCCUGUAAUUCUUCCAUGCUUCCCUUUCAGAAAACAAUGUCUCAUGAACCAACUUUUGAUAGUUGGUGUGAUAUUGUGCUACUUCUCUUUUAGGUUCGAAAGAGAAAUUGUCCCUUUUCCCCUAGUUUCCGUUCAUCAGUUUCUCAGUAUCGCUUAACCUAGCUAAGCAUAUGUUGACUUUAAAGAUGAUGAAUAAAAGUUAAAUCUUUUAAUAGUGAAGCAUGGAAGAAUUACGGAAAGUAUAGCUAAUCAAAUUCGACACGGCUGUUGUUCGACAUGGAGGAAUGAAUCAUAUGUAGACUCCUCGGAGGAGGUAACAGUGCCUCCUUUUCAUUAUUUUUUGGAACAGACUCCACAAUAGUGAACUUGUCGAUGACCCAUUCAAACUGACCGAUGUGUAUUGGUUAGGGUUGUUGAUCUCUAACUUUGGCAGUUGAAAUGAGAUACGUCUCAAAAAGUUGGAACAACAACUUAUCACAUCGUCCAAUGUCAUCACCAUACGGUAUUACACAAAUUUGUUCGUCUUACAAUUUUAUUGAGACGAAUAAUGCAGCAAAUAUUGGAAGAGUACAAGUUAGAACAUCUUAUGUUACCGUUAUAGUUGUAACUCCACUUACGUUUUCAUCUUGAACAAUUAUUGUUUGAAAUCGAACCCGGUGAUCCCUGCUUUCUCUUGGCCGAAAUUUGUCCACGAGUUGAACUUUGCAAGUCCAUUCCUUAGUCGUCAUUGAUCCUAAAACAGAAGUAGCACGAUAUCACACCAACUAUCAAAAGUUGGUUCAUGAGACAUUGUUUUUUCCCCUGAAUUAGUCUGUGCUUUACAAUAGCUUGGUUACUUAGAACCCAUGGUGGAUGUUAGU